Long non-coding RNA from Poecilia reticulata (guppy), 291 nucleotides. RefSeq lists it as uncharacterized. Lineage: Eukaryota; Metazoa; Chordata; Actinopteri; Cyprinodontiformes; Poeciliidae. The record is from RefSeq and is a predicted model, not a curated record.
AUUUCUCUUUUAUUAUAAUUACUCAAAAUGUCUUCUUUUGGUUAUUUGACUUGUUCCUUAUCUUACUGAAACACCUCUGUCAUUGUUUUAACCGCGUUACUUUAAGAUCGGAAGCCCCUCCCUUUUAUUUCUUCUUCUGUGGUAUUGUCUUUAAAUUGUUUGCGCCCCUUAGCCCCUCCCCUUUUGACAUGUUGUCCUGCGGGAGAGGACUUGGAGCGGGCAGCCUAUAACACGGUUGUUUUGUCUGUAUUUUCGUCAGAAAUAAACCGAGAAUCAUCCGCUUGAAAGAAA